CACGUAGGCGGCAUGGUAAGUCAAAGGUGAAAGCCCUCGGCUCAACCGAGGAACUGCCUUUGAAACUGCUUUGCUUGAGUCCGGGAGGGGGGAGCGGAAUUCCCAGUAUAGCGGUGAAAUGCGUAGAUACUGGGAGGAACACUGGUGGCGAAGGCGGCUCCCUGGACCGGUACUGACGCUGAGGUGCGAAAGCGUGGGUAGCAAACA
This 207-nucleotide ribosomal RNA is filed under the name uncultured bacterium. RNAcentral's name for it is "partial 16S ribosomal RNA". It matches the Rfam family "Bacterial small subunit ribosomal RNA", at positions 568 to 774 of the family's 1533-position model. The record is from RNAcentral.